RNAcentral lists this ribosomal RNA (498 nucleotides) under uncultured bacterium. Its description in RNAcentral is "partial 16S ribosomal RNA". It matches the Rfam family "Bacterial small subunit ribosomal RNA", at positions 28 to 507 of the family's 1533-position model. The record is from RNAcentral.
GACGAACGCUGGCGGCGUGCCUAAUACAUGCAAGUCGAACGAGAGCGACCGGUGCUUGCACUGGUCAAUCUAGUGGCGGACGGGUGAGUAACACGUGGGUAACCUGCUCAUCAGAGGGGGAUAACAUCCGGAAACGGAUGCUAAAACCGCAUAGGUCUUCGAGCCGCAUGGCUUGAAGAGGAAAAGAGGCGCAAGCUUCUGCUGAUGGAUGGACCCGCGGUGCAUUAGCUAGUUGGUGAGGUAACGGCUCACCAAGGCCGUGAUGCAUAGCCGACCUGAGAGGGUGAUCGGCCACAUUGGGACUGAGACACGGCCCAAACUCCUACGGGAGGCAGCAGUAGGGAAUCUUCCGCAAUGGACGCAAGUCUGACGGAGCAACGCCGCGUGAGUGAAGAAGGUUUUCGGAUCGUAAAACUCUGUUGUUAGAGAAGAACAAGUGCUAGAGUAACUGUUAGCGCCUUGACGGUAGCUAACCAGAAAGCCACGGCUAACUACGUG